Molecule: transfer RNA, 82 nt
Filed under: Clytia hemisphaerica
Lineage: Eukaryota; Metazoa; Cnidaria; Hydrozoa; Leptothecata; Clytiidae
Description: tRNA-Leu for anticodon CAA
Rfam family: tRNA
About the family: Transfer RNA (tRNA) molecules are approximately 80 nucleotides in length.
Source: Rfam by way of RNAcentral
GACAGAAUGGCCGAUUGGUUUAGGGCACUAAUUUCAAAUACCAGUCACUGCGGUGGUGUGGGUUCGAAUCCCACUUCUGUCA